AGAGUUUGAUCAUGGCUCAGGAUGAACGCUAGCGGCAGGCUUAACACAUGCAAGUCGAGGGGCAGCACGGGUAGCAAUACCUGGUGGCGACCGGCGCAAGGGUGCGUAACGCGUGAGCAACAUGCCCUAUACAGGGGGAUAAACCAGGGAAACUUGGACUAAUACCCCAUAGCAUUUAUUUAUGGCAUCAUGAAUAAAUUAAAGCUUCGGUGGUAUAGGAUUGGCUCGCGUGACAUUAGCUAGAUGGUGAGGUAACGGCUCACCAUGGCGAUGAUGUCUAGGGGUUCUGAGAGGAAGGCCCCCCACACUGGGACUGAGACACGGCCCAGACUCCUACGGGAGGCAGCAGUGAGGAAUAUUGGACAAUGGAUGGAAAUCUGAUCCAGCCAUGCCGCGUGCAGGAAGACGGCCCUAUGGGUUGUAAACUGCUUUUAUACGGGAGCAAUAAGGUCUACGUGUAGACUGAUGAGAGUACCGUAUGAAUAAGCAUCGGCUAACUCCGUGCCAGCAGCCGCGGUAAUACGGAGGAUGCGAGCGUUAUCCGGAUUUAUUGGGUUUAAAGGGUGCGUAGGCGGCCUUGUAAGUCAGCGGUGAAAUUUUGCAGCUUAACUGUAAAAGUGCCGUUGAUACUGUGAGGCUAGGAUUUGGUUGCUGUGGGUGGAAUGUGUGGUGUAGCGGUGAAAUGCUUAGAGAUCACACAGAAUAUCGAUUGCGAAGGCAGCUCACAAAGCCAAGAUUGACGCUGAGGCACGAAAGUGUGGGGAUCAAACAGGAUUAGAUACCCUGGUAGUCCACACUGUAAACGAUGAUAACUCGCUGUCGGCGAUAUACAGUCGGUGGCCAAGCGAAAGCGAUAAGUUAUCCACCUGGGGAGUACGACCGCAAGGUUGAAACUCAAAUGAAUUGACGGGG
RNAcentral lists this ribosomal RNA (912 nucleotides) under uncultured Bacteroidota bacterium. Its description in RNAcentral is "bacterial SSU rRNA". It matches the Rfam family "Bacterial small subunit ribosomal RNA", at positions 8 to 918 of the family's 1533-position model. The record is from RNAcentral. Lineage: Bacteria; Pseudomonadati; Bacteroidota.